AGCGCCGGGCUGCGGGGACGGAGCUGGAGCUGCCCGCCCGGAGCGAAAGAGGGGGAAGGACCGCUCGCCUGCGCGGAGAGGCGGGCGCUGAGCGCCUGUCCCGGCGGCCCGGAAACCGCCCGGAGAAGGUGUCCUGUGACAGCCCUUGAUCAGCAACGCUGCAAGUCAUGUAGAAGCCGCAGUAACUGCAGAGUCUCUGAUGGAUAAUUGGAUUGGGAAUAAUAUGUGGGAGGCUGUGAACUAUUUGCUUCCGACAUAGGAACAGCACUGGGUUGGGAAUCUGCACUCCUGAGAGAAUGCUGGGAAUCUGCAGAGGGCGACGGAAAUUCCUGGCUGCCUCUCUGACCGUCCUUUUUGUCC
Molecule: long non-coding RNA, 360 nt
Filed under: Columba livia (rock pigeon)
Lineage: Eukaryota; Metazoa; Chordata; Aves; Columbiformes; Columbidae
Description: partial uncharacterized LOC102083908
Source: RNAcentral